RNAcentral lists this long non-coding RNA (459 nucleotides) under Pan troglodytes (chimpanzee). RNAcentral describes it as "lincRNA". Lineage: Eukaryota; Metazoa; Chordata; Mammalia; Primates; Hominidae. The record is from RNAcentral.
GAGGGAGCGUCCGCGGCCCGCGCGCCCGCGCGGCGGAGGAGAGGUGUUAAGUGUGAUGCUUCCAUAAUACAUUUGGAUGUUGUCAGCUAAGUUCACUUCUGAACUAAGGGGUUCCUCCAAAUGUUGGCUGAAAUUCAUCCCAAGGCUGGUCUGCAAUUACCUAUUUCUUUUAAGAAUAAAUUUAGUGGGAAUAUCAGUUCCAGUCAUGGGUACCAAACUUUUUUAGUGACAGAGUACACACAGAGUUUACAAUUCAUAAUGGAGCUACUGUACUGGCUAUUGGAAGGAGGAGAUUCUGAAGAUAAGGAGGUAAAACCUGUUUAGAAAUUAAAAAUGAGUUACGAUUUAAAGAAAAUUCAGAUGACUCAUUGUGAGUGCUAGUUCUCUUGUAGGAUGCCACUGGAAAUGUUGAAAUGAAAAAUAUUCAGCCGUCGGUCUUUGAAAUUUCCUGUGAUGUAU